CACCACUGGUCUAUACCAUCCUGCCAAGUACAGCAGGCAUCCAUGCAUUCUGUACACACAUAUUUACUCCAGGAAUUUUUGUUAAAAGUUUCAUGAUCUCAUGCAGUGGCCAACUCUGCUAGCUGACAGGAUUAAAAAAACCACUGAGAUGCCUGAUGGCUUGGUUGCCUCAUAAAAAGGCAUACGAAGUACUAAGGAAGGGGCUACAGGCUCAGGGCAUUUUUUGCAUGCUGUUCGACCCCCACAGCCGCUUCAGGAAAGGCUAGGAAAUUUUUUUUGCCUGACACUCUGGAGAGUUCUGCCAGUCAGUAUUAACAGCAGGGGGCCAAAUGGACCAAUGGUCAGACCCCGGAAUAAAGCAGGUUCCCCUGUUCCUUUACUCUGUGAUACCACGUUUCUCUUGCUCACUAAACACAAUAUGCUGGGAUUCAUGGACUAUGUAAAUUCUUUUCUUCAAACAAGACCCAGAAGAGCUAAAAUUAAUGGGUCGAUCCUCAUCUCUUUUGAAGCAUCCAGCAGAAAUCCUUGGGGGAUUGCUGGAAGAGGCCAGAAGGCCAUUGGGUCCAACCCCCUGCUCAAUACUAGUACUUCACAGGAUUUGGAAGUGAUACUUCUAUUAAUGUAGCCUAAAGAGCAUUUGCACUUUUUGCAGCCACAUCACACUGUUGACUCAUAUUCAGCUUGUGAUCUACAACAAUUCCAAGAUCAUUCUCACUUGCUGUAUUGAGCCAAAUGUUCCCCCAUCUUAUAAUUAUGCAUUUGAUUUCUUUUUCCUAGGUGCACAACUUGGCAUUUGUCCUUGCUGAAUUUCAUUCUGUUUUCAACCCAGUUGUCAAUCAUUGCCUUGUACUUUUGAAGAAAAUGGAAUUUAUGAAAUUAACAAUUGUUAUUAAUCACUGUGUGUUUCCAUCACACCUUAACACAGGACUGGUGCAUGCUUAAGAGAUCACAAAAGGUCUAUGAGAUUGUGUGUGAGCUGCUCCCACUAUGGUAAAGGAUUUUGUCUGCACAAACAACAACAACAACAACAACAACAAAACAAACUCUGAACCAUGGUUAAUGUCAAGCAACAUGGCUGCCCUUUAAUAAGUUUGCAAUCCUAUUUCAACCCGUUUGACAUGGGAACUAUGAUGAAUCAUUAUUAAGGUGGAGGAAAGCAGAAUAGGGAGAAAUGGAACUGGAGAAAAGCUAGAGAGUGAGGUCACAUGGUUAAGAGAUAAGGAACUUUGCCUUUGUAGAUCUCCAGCAUUUUGCUUUAAAAAUCAAAGCAUGUUGCUUCUCUUAUUCUUCCUCCCACCAUCCUUUAAAAUGAAGAAAUUUUCACUUUCAAAAAAGGUCACACUAAAUGUGUUUUUAAAAAGGAAGUAGACAAUUUCCAUCAGCACUUCCAAAACAGUCUCAUUAGUAUGCCAAACCCUUAAAGGACAGGCAAGGAAGCUCUUUUCAUUACUGCGAUUAACCCACAUGAGAUGGGAAUUUAAAGUAUACCCAUAAGAAACGUUCACAGUUAAUUCAAGCAAUAUAAAAGAUAAAAAGUGCACAGGAUUGUCUUUUAAAAUAAAAAGGCAACUAAUUAAAAAUGCAGACUUCAUUAUAGAGCUCAUUUGCAUAAAUGGCCUAUCAAGGGAAAUGUCACUGAACAUGUGAAAGAACUCAAAGAUUCCUAGAUCAGCCUUUUCCAACAACUCAGGUCAGCUCCAGCCAAAGUGUUGGGAAGCCUGGGAACUGGAGUCCAAAACAUUUGAAGGGCACUUAGUUGCAGGAGUAUACCCUAGAUACUGCUUCUUUACAAGCUACUGUCUUAAUUAUCAGCAUUCCAUAAAAAAUAAAAGCUCAGUGGGUUUUACUGCUAAGUCUCCAAUUUUUGUUUUAAACUGUCCAGAAAACUUUGGCUAUUGGGUAGUACAGAAGCUAAAUAAAUAAAUAAAUUCUGGAAAAAACAUGGCAGGAUUAUGGUCAGUCUAUCCUUAUCCAAAUACCAAUACCACCCAAUUGUGUCAGCCACUCCCUUUGAAACCUACCCUAUCCCUGUUCGUGGCAGUGCGGAUUCCAUGGGACUGGUGCAGCUGCAAAGUAAGAAUAUCAACCAUGUCUACAACAAUUGCCCAGUUAUUUCAAAAAGGUGUCCUGAUUAUCAGCAGCAGAUUUAAGAUUAAUCAUUUUAUAAAAUUCUAGCACUUUACAAGAAUGUAGCUGAGCAGUGGUAGACUUAGGUAAAAUUUGACCUUGAACUUAAAAGGUUUUAUGGUACAUCCCUUUAUAAGGCCAUGUGUAUUACUUCAGUUGCACAACUAACUGUUGUCCCUGCACCCCACACAGUGACCAUCUCAUGCUUGACAAGGGCCUCUACACGAUGUCUUUUUAAAGAAACACCUCUACAAGUUUGUCCAACUAUGCACUUUAUAUUUAUUUAAAUCACAGCACAACAUGAAUACAAGAAUAAAAAGGAGUCUAUUUCUGUUGCCCACAACACUUGGCAUUCCUUGGGUGGUCAUUUGGAGGAUGCACAGUUCUGCACUUUUGGCCCCAGUUCCAGUCCUGGGUGCACCACUGCAGGUGAACAAAACUGUUACAGAUAUGGGCAGAAAGACAACUGUGUGGCUUGCUUGGAAGGACAUUGUAUUUCAAAGCAAAAAUUAAUCCUACCAUGCAGUAACUGCAGAACUGGCUCUGGAUGACACAGCAGACCCACAAAGAUUCCUCUGUCACCCAAAUGUCCAAAUAAGACAUGAAAAUCCAACACCUGGAAAUAGUAUGGAAAUGUUCAAGCUUUGGACACUGGCAUUUGAGUGGAAGACAAAGGAAACAAACACAAGUACUGUAACAACACCAUGGGGUAAAAUGGAAGGUGGUAAAGUAUACUACUGCUCUUCUGAGAAAGUAGCAAUCAAUAAGUGACUCUGACAAUGGUCAGCAAGAAUUUUGUUGCCAUUCAAACCAAAUAAGGUGAUGGCUGGUAUGAGGAACAGCUUCUCAUUAGGCAAUGGGAUCAUCUGGAAUUAUAAACUCAGCUUUCUAAAUCCUGCCAGUCUAGAAGAUGAAAGGUUAUUGCAGUUUAUUACAGCAGUAGCUUUGAACCAUAUCACAGAUUAAUGAAUGAUUAUUCCAGCUCCAUAAAAAUCAGUGUGCAAUUUCAGUUUUAAGUUGGCUUGAUAGAAAAUGCACAGUAUGACAAGCAUCCUAGGGCACAAUCCUAUGCAAGGUUAGACAGAAAAAGGGCUACAACCCCUAUUGUGCCUCUCGAAAUCUUUGUUGUUGACUUAAUAUUUAAAAAAAACGCAUUUCCUCAAGUGGCACAAGCUCUCACACUGUGGUUGCACUUAGACAUAACCAUAAGCCAUUUUUCCGUUAAAGGUACAAGUCUUGGCAAGCCUUGGAAUUGCACACUUCCUCCCUCCACUCUCUUCCUCCAUUGGAAGCUUUUCACUAACUAUGAUUUAGUGUUAUAUCUGAACCCAGACAAACUGAGAUGAACUUUAAUUUCAGUUUAUUACAACAAGCCCAUUUCAUACACUAAGAUUUGCAAGUAGCUUGUUUUAGUAAACUAUAAUUAAAACUAACCAUAACUUGCCUGGGUUCAGAUGUAACACUGAACAGUAGUUAGCUAAAAAUGGGGAAAAAAAGCUUCCAACCUGCUUAUAGCUUUUCUAAAUUUGUCCAUAUAAAAACAAACCACAGCAUAUCAUUAUAUAUAAGUGCAUCCAUGUUUGAAUAAGCAAAGGGAAAAAACCCCUAAUGAGUCUGAGGAGCAUUCCUUUGCAUUAGCCACAGAAAGAUAUCUACAUAUAAUGAUGCUUUACUUUAUAGUUAUUUACUUAUAAAUCAACCAAUAGCUGGAGUGCCAUCUCUGUUGUAAAUCCCUUCAGGAUUUUAAAAAUUGGAAAUAGUAUAUAUUUUGUUUUAAACAAACAAAUAAAAUACUAAGCAAACUCCAAGCAUUUGCAGACUUAAAAUGGACUGAGAUGACAGUGUUUCUUACCAUUUAUAAUGAAAAAAACACAACUGAGAAAAAAUUAGUAACCUGCUAAUUGCGUCUUCUUUAUAAGUGAUAAAUUAUAUUUCACAGAAAGAAGUGUCUUUCCAUGGCCUCACUUUAAAAACUAGGAAAAUCCCCCCACAAACAUCGCCACAGUUAUAAACACAAUGAAUAAGCAGUUAAGGCAACUGUCAUUUAUGUGCUGUAAUGAGUUUUCUGCAGACACAUAACAAAAUAUUUUGCUGCUAUUUUCAGUCAUCUGGACUGUCUCCUCCCUUCAGCAUGAGUCUGUCAAACCAUUAUUAAAUUCCUCUGAGCUUUAUAUCAUUCUA
Varanus komodoensis (Komodo dragon) is the source of this 4308-nucleotide long non-coding RNA. RefSeq lists it as uncharacterized. The record is from RefSeq and is a predicted model, not a curated record. NCBI's taxonomy places the organism in Eukaryota, Metazoa, Chordata, Lepidosauria, Squamata, Varanidae. The transcript has 4 exons.